This 290-nucleotide long non-coding RNA is filed under the name Olea europaea (common olive). Its description in RNAcentral is "long non-coding RNA (OEUR_LNC015068)". Lineage: Eukaryota; Viridiplantae; Streptophyta; Magnoliopsida; Lamiales; Oleaceae. The record is from RNAcentral.
AAAUACCUCUUUAUUUAUACUUUUCAAUUGAGGAUUAGAGUUAUGAAUUCUAAGGAGGAUAACAUUUUAUGUAGUUAAAUUGGAGGUACAUUCUAUAUGAUCCUGAAUUUCUAAGUACAAAUAACUACUUUAAAAAUUCCUAAAAGUGGGGAAAUGCAAAAAAUAUUUUUCGACAUUGCGUAUAUUGUAAUAUUCUAGAUUUGCCUUUCAUUUAAAAUUAUAUCUAUAUCUACUAUGUUCCUAAUUUACUUUAAAACUUAGUGCAUUAAUCAUAUAAGAAAACUUGUUAA